UACGUAGGGUGCGAGCGUUAAUCGGAAUUACUGGGCGUAAAGUGUGCGCAGGCGGCAGAGCAAGUCGAGUGUGAAAGCCCCGGGCUUAACUUGGGAAUUGCGCUCGAAACUACUUUGCUGGAGUGUGGCAGAGGAAGGUGGAAUUCCACGUGUAGCGGUGAAAUGCGUAGAUAUCAGGAGGAACACCGGUGGUGUAGACGGCUGACUGGACCACGACUGACGCUGAGGCACGAAAGCGUGGGUAGCAAACAGG
RNAcentral lists this ribosomal RNA (253 nucleotides) under uncultured prokaryote. RNAcentral's name for it is "partial 16S ribosomal RNA". It matches the Rfam family "Bacterial small subunit ribosomal RNA", at positions 524 to 776 of the family's 1533-position model. The record is from RNAcentral.